GAUGAACGCUGGCGGCGUGUCUAAUACAUGCGAGUCGAGCGAACAGAUGAGGAGCUUGCUCCUCUGACGUUAGCGGCGGACGGGUGAGUAACACGUGGAUAACCUACCUAUAAGACUGGGAUAACUUCGGGAAACCGGAGCUAAUACCGGAUAAUAUAUUGAACCGCAUGGUUCAAUAGUGAAAGACGGUUUUGCUGUCACUUAUAGAUGGAUCCGCGCCGCAUUAGCUAGUUGGCAAGGUAACGGCUUACCAAGGCAACGAUGCGUAGCCGACCUGAGAGGGUGAUCGGCCACACUGGAACUGAGACACGGUCCAGACUCCUACGGGAGGCAGCAGUAGGGAAUCUUCCGCAAUGGGCGAAAGCCUGACGGAGCAACGCCGCGUGAGUGAUGAAGGUCUUCGGAUCGUAAAACUCUGUUAUUAGGGAAGAACAAAUGUGUAAGUAACUAUGCACGUCUUGACGGUACCUAAUCAGAAAGCCACGGCUAACUACGUG
Molecule: ribosomal RNA, 497 nt
Filed under: uncultured bacterium
Lineage: Bacteria
Description: partial 16S ribosomal RNA
Rfam family: Bacterial small subunit ribosomal RNA
Source: RNAcentral